UAUAUAUAUAUAUUCAAUGGGCCACAAGGCAUCAUAUUGGACUGGUUUCUUCCUUUGUCUAAAGCCUAUUGGGCUUAAUUGAAACACUGAUACCAAUUGCCAGAUGGAUCGACAUAUAAACUAGGUUUUGUUCGAUUUAUGCGGCUCUCAUUAUAAACUAGGGUUUGCUUUGUUCUCUGCUGCCGCUCUCUCUUUUUCAUUAUAUUUUCAAGGGGUUUAAUGCUCAGAUUGAUGCUAUUUGGUUUUUAGGAGAGGAAACAAGGACUUUGAAGAAGAAAUCAAUGGAAGAUUUGAUGCAAAUCACGCGUAUGUAUGAGAUACAGGGUAACGAGCCACCUUGUGCAUGUGGAAGGGGUCGAAUGAAUCUUUAUACGGCUGGAACUUCAAAGAAUUAUGGACGUUCAUUCUAUAGAUGUCUAGCUUAGGGGGUAUACAAUCCUUUGCAUUAAUAAUUUUUUAUGCGUACAUGUUAUUGUUACAAGGCCAUUAUAAUAAUAUGCAAGUCUUUGAUGUUUUAGUCACAUGCUCGUUCAUUUAUAUGGUUGGAUGACAUGUACCAACGUCUGCAAGUGGGUGGUCAUGUGGAGCAAGAGUUGGAGGAUGUAGUUGCUGUUAUAUAAGCUCAACAAAAUAGGCAAAACUACAUUAUCUAUAGUGGUUGUUAUUGUCUUACUAUAACUAUAUUAUUUAUGUUAUUGUUCAUGUUGUUGUUGUUGGUUAUUGUGAUUGUUGAUAAAUGAUAUAAUAUAUUAGUUCAAUUUUACUUCAUGAACUUUUAUUGUGCC
Molecule: long non-coding RNA, 785 nt
Organism: Cornus florida
Lineage: Eukaryota; Viridiplantae; Streptophyta; Magnoliopsida; Cornales; Cornaceae
Exons: 2
Source: RefSeq, a predicted model, not a curated record